RNAcentral lists this transfer RNA (75 nucleotides) under Alienimonas californiensis. RNAcentral describes it as "Planctomycetes bacterium CA12 tRNA-Val". It matches the Rfam family "tRNA". Rfam says of the family: Transfer RNA (tRNA) molecules are approximately 80 nucleotides in length. Lineage: Bacteria; Pseudomonadati; Planctomycetota; Planctomycetia; Planctomycetales; Planctomycetaceae. The record is from RNAcentral.
GGACGCGUAGAUCAGUUGGUUAGAUCGCCACGUUGACAUCGUGGAGGUCGACGGUUCGAGUCCGUCCGCGUCCAC